UUCGAGCGUCAGCGAGAAAGCGUUGCCGCAGGCAACGACCCGAAGGGCGAAGCGCGCAGCGCUGAGUCAUCCUUCCCCCAUCACCA
Molecule: small RNA, 86 nt
Filed under: Salmonella enterica
Lineage: Bacteria; Pseudomonadati; Pseudomonadota; Gammaproteobacteria; Enterobacterales; Enterobacteriaceae
Also listed under: 1 other name
Description: partial RtT sRNA
Rfam family: RtT RNA
About the family: This family represents a bacterial cis-regulatory element known as RtT RNA. The exact function of RtT is unknown although it is thought that it may be involved in changing the cellular response in relation to amino acid starvation.
Source: RNAcentral